GCGCCCUUAGCUCAGCUGGCAGAGCAGGGGACUUUUAAUCCCAAGGUCCAGGGUUCGAACCCCUGAGGGCGCACCA
Molecule: transfer RNA, 76 nt
Filed under: Atopobiaceae bacterium
Lineage: Bacteria; Bacillati; Actinomycetota; Coriobacteriia; Coriobacteriales; Atopobiaceae
Also listed under: 3 other names
Description: tRNA-Lys
Rfam family: tRNA
About the family: Transfer RNA (tRNA) molecules are approximately 80 nucleotides in length. Their secondary structure includes four short double-helical elements and three loops (D, anti-codon, and T loops). Further hydrogen bonds mediate the characteristic L-shaped molecular structure. tRNAs have two regions of fundamental functional importance: the anti-codon, which is responsible for specific mRNA codon recognition, and the 3' end, to which the tRNAs corresponding amino acid is attached (by aminoacyl-tRNA synthetases). tRNAs cope with the degeneracy of the genetic code in two manners: having more than one tRNA (with a specific anti-codon) for a particular amino acid; and 'wobble' base-pairing, i.e. permitting non-standard base-pairing at the 3rd anti-codon position.
Source: RNAcentral